Molecule: ribosomal RNA, 464 nt
Filed under: Vreelandella stevensii
Lineage: Bacteria; Pseudomonadati; Pseudomonadota; Gammaproteobacteria; Oceanospirillales; Halomonadaceae
Description: partial 16S ribosomal RNA
Rfam family: Bacterial small subunit ribosomal RNA
Source: RNAcentral
CCUACGGGAGGCAGCAGUGGGGAAUAUUGGACAAUGGGCGAAAGCCUGAUCCAGCCAUGCCGCGUGUGUGAAGAAGGCCUUCGGGUUGUAAAGCACUUUCAGUGGGGAAGAAAGCCUUGGGGCUAAUACCCUCGAGGAAGGACAUCACCCACAGAAGAAGCACCGGCUAACUCCGUGCCAGCAGCCGCGGUAAUACGGAGGGUGCGAGCGUUAAUCGGAAUUACUGGGCGUAAAGCGCGCGUAGGCGGUCUGAUAAGCCGGUUGUGAAAGCCCCGGGCUCAACCUGGGAACGGCAUCCGGAACUGUCAGGCUAGAGUGCAGGAGAGGAAGGUAGAAUUCCCGGUGUAGCGGUGAAAUGCGUAGAGAUCGGGAGGAAUACCAGUGGCGAAGGCGGCCUUCUGGACUGACACUGACGCUGAGGUGCGAAAGCGUGGGUAGCAAACAGGAUUAGAACCCCGGUAGUC